This 79-nucleotide transfer RNA is filed under the name Peptoniphilus lacrimalis 315-B. Its description in RNAcentral is "tRNA-His". It matches the Rfam family "tRNA". From Rfam's summary of the family: Transfer RNA (tRNA) molecules are approximately 80 nucleotides in length. Their secondary structure includes four short double-helical elements and three loops (D, anti-codon, and T loops). The record is from RNAcentral. Lineage: Bacteria; Bacillati; Bacillota; Tissierellia; Tissierellales; Peptoniphilaceae.
GGUGGGUAUGGCCUAGCUGGUUAAGGCGUCAGAUUGUGGUCCUGAAGAUCGUGGGUUCGAUUCCCACUAUCCACCCCAU